Molecule: long non-coding RNA, 236 nt
Filed under: Lathyrus oleraceus (garden pea)
Lineage: Eukaryota; Viridiplantae; Streptophyta; Magnoliopsida; Fabales; Fabaceae
Description: Pisum sativum (pea) long non-coding RNA (PSAT_LNC018539)
Source: RNAcentral
UAUAAGGUCUUAGUGUUAUAAAAGUGUGUGUCAAAUUGUGUACAAAAACAUGCAAAUUUACUAAGUAUUCGUGUGAAGAGGAACAGUAAAACGCAGAAUGUACGUUGUCUACACCAUUGUUUAAUCAUUUCAAAGCAUUAUAAAGUUGUCUUUACUUUCUCUUCAGAAACGUCUUUCCUUGUUCUUUACUCUCAAACACUUUAUCUCUUACUUCUUUAUUUACAAGUUUAAAGAUC